Molecule: non-coding RNA, 72 nt
Organism: Podarcis lilfordi (Lilford's wall lizard)
Lineage: Eukaryota; Metazoa; Chordata; Lepidosauria; Squamata; Lacertidae
Source: the annotation of a GenBank genome assembly
GAGGGUGUAGCUCUGUGACAGAGCAUCUGCUUUGUAUGCAAACGGUCCCAGGUUCAAUCCCCAGCAUCUCUA